This 400-nucleotide ribosomal RNA is filed under the name uncultured bacterium. Its description in RNAcentral is "bacterial SSU rRNA". It matches the Rfam family "Bacterial small subunit ribosomal RNA", at positions 28 to 430 of the family's 1533-position model. The record is from RNAcentral.
GACGAACGCUGGCGGCGUGCUUAACACAUGCAAGUCGAACGGUGACGAGGAGCUUGCUCCUCCGAUCAGUGGCGAACGGGUGAGUAACACGUGAGUAACCUGCCCCAGACUCUGGAAUAACAGUUGGAAACAGCUGCUAAUACCGGAUACGAGACGGAGAGGCAUCUCUACCGUCUGGAAAGUUUUUCGGUCUGGGAUGGACUCGCGGCCUAUCAGUUUGUUGGUGAGGUAAUGGCUCACCAAGGCGACGACGGGUAGCCGGCCUGAGAGGGCGACCGGCCACACUGGGACUGAGACACGGCCCAGACUCCUACGGGAGGCAGCAGUGGGGAAUAUUGCACAAUGGGCGAAAGCCUGAUGCAGCAACGCCGCGUGAGGGAUGACGGCCUCGGUUGUAACC